This 208-nucleotide ribosomal RNA is filed under the name uncultured bacterium. RNAcentral describes it as "partial 16S ribosomal RNA". It matches the Rfam family "Bacterial small subunit ribosomal RNA", at positions 1294 to 1500 of the family's 1533-position model. The record is from RNAcentral.
CGGAUCGCAGGCUGCAACCCGCCCUGCGUGAAGUUGGAAUUGCUAGUAAUCGCGGAUCAGCAUGCCGCGGUGAAUACGUUCCCGGGCCCUUGUACACACCGCCCGUCACACCAUGGGAGCCGGUAAUACCCGAAGUCAGUAGCCUAACCGCAAGGGGGCGCUGCCGAAGGUAGGAUUGGCGACUGGGGUGAAGUCGUAACAAGGUAAC